GGUUAACCGAAUAGGGGAGCCGAAGGGAAACCGAGUCUUAACUGGGCGUUAAGUUGCAGGGUAUAGACCCGAAACCCGGUGAUCUAGCCAUGGGCAGGUUGAAGGUUGGGUAACACUAACUGGAGGACCGAACCGACUAAUGUUGAAAAAUUAGCGGAUGACUUGUGGCUGGGGGUGAAAGGCCAAUCAAACCGGGAGAUAGCUGGUUCUCCCCGAAAGCUAUUUAGGUAGCGCCUCGUGAAUUCAUCUUCGGGGGUAGAGCACUGUUUCGGCUAGGGGGUCAUCCCGACUUACCAACCCGAUGCAAACUGCGAAUACCGAAGAAUGUUAUCACGGGAGACACACGGCGGGUGCUAACGUCCGUCGUGAAGAGGGAAACAACCCAGACCGCCAGCUAAGGUCCCAAAGUCAUGGUUAAGUGGGAAACGAUGUGGGAAGGCACAGACAGCCAGGAUGUUGGCUUAGAAGCAGCCAUCAUUUAAAGAAAGCGUAAUAGCUCACUGGUCGAGUCGGCCUGCGCGGAAGAUGUAACGGGGCUAAACCAUGCACCGAAGCUGCGGCAGCGACACUAUGUGUUGUUGGGUAGGGGAGCGUUCUGUAAGCCGUUGAAGGUGGCCUGUGAGGGUUGCUGGAGGUAUCAGAAGUGCGAAUGCUGACAUAAGUAACGAUAAUGCGGGUGAAAAACCCGCACGCCGGAAGACCAAGGGUUCCUGUCCAACGUUAAUCGGGGCAGGGUGAGUCGACCCCUAAGGCGAGGCCGAAAGGCGUAGUCGAUGGGAAACAGGUUAAUAUUCCUGUACUUGGUGUUACUGCGAAGGGGGGACGGAGAAGGCUAUGUUAGCCGGGCGACGGUUGUCCCGGUUUAAGCAUGUAGGCGGAGGUUCCAGGUAAAUCCGGUACCUUAUUAACGCUGAGGUGUGAUGACGAGGCACUACGGUGCUGAAGUAAUAAAUGCCCUGCUUCCAGGAAAAGCCUCUAAGCAUCAGGUAACACGAAAUCGUACCCCAAACCGACACAGGUGGUCAGGUAGAGAAUACCAAGGCGCUUGAGAGAACUCGGGUGAAGGAACUAGGCAAAAUGGUGCCGUAACUUCGGGAGAAGGCACGCUGAUAUGUAGGUGAAGUGGUUUACCCAUGGAGCUGAAAUCAGUCGAAGAUACCAGCUGGCUGCAACUGUUUAUUAAAAACACAGCACUGUGCAAACACGAAAGUGGACGUAUACGGUGUGACGCCUGCCCGGUGCCGGAAGGUUAAUUGAUGGGGUUAUCCGUAAGGAGAAGCUCUUGAUCGAAGCCCCGGUAAACGGCGGCCGUAACUAUAACGGUCCUAAGGUAGCGAAAUUCCUUGUCGGGUAAGUUCCGACCUGCACGAAUGGCGUAAUGAUGGCCAGGCUGUCUCCACCCGAGACUCAGUGAAAUUGAACUCGCUGUGAAGAUGCAGUGUACCCGCGGCAAGACGGAAAGACCCCGUGAACCUUUACUAUAGCUUGACACUGAACACUGGUCCUUGAUGUGUAGGAUAGGUGGGAGGCUUUGAAGUGUGGACGCCAGUCUGCAUGGAGCCAUCCUUGAAAUACCACCCUUUAAUGGCUGGUGUUCUAACGUAGACCCGUAAUCCGGGUUGCGGACAGUGUCUGGUGGGUAGUUUGACUGGGGCGGUCUCCUCCUAAAGAGUAACGGAGGAGCACGAAGGUUAGCUAAUCCUGGUCGGACAUCAGGAGGUUAGUGCAAAGGCAUAAGCUAGCUUGACUGCGAGAGUGACGGCUCGAGCAGGUGCGAAAGCAGGUCUUAGUGAUCCGGUGGUUCUGAAUGGAAGGGCCAUCGCUCAACGGAUAAAAGGUACUCCGGGGAUAACAGGCUGAUACCGCCCAAGAGUUCAUAUCGACGGCGGUGUUUGGCACCUCGAUGUCGGCUCAUCACAUCCUGGGGCUGAAGUAGGUCCCAAGGGUAUGGCUGUUCGCCAUUUAAAGUGGUACGCGAGCUGGGUUUAGAACGUCGUGAGACAGUUCGGUCCCUAUCUGCCGUGGGCGCUGGAGAAUUGAGGGGGGCUGCUCCUAGUACGAGAGGACCGGAGUGGACGCAUCACUGGUGUUCGGGUUGUCAUGCCAAUGGCAUUGCCCGGUAGCUAAAUGCGGAAGAGAUAAGUGCUGAAAGCAUCUAAGCACGAAACUUGCCCCGAGAUGAGUUCUCCCUGACUCCUUGAGAGUCCUGAAGGAACGUUGAAGACGACGACGUUGAUAGGUCGGGUGUGUAAGUGUAGCGAUACAUUGAGCUAACCGAUACUAAUGAACCGUGAGGCUUAACCUU
RNAcentral lists this ribosomal RNA (2305 nucleotides) under Citrobacter sp. Cpo100. Its description in RNAcentral is "partial 23S ribosomal RNA". It matches the Rfam family "Bacterial large subunit ribosomal RNA", at positions 644 to 2925 of the family's 2925-position model. The record is from RNAcentral. Lineage: Bacteria; Pseudomonadati; Pseudomonadota; Gammaproteobacteria; Enterobacterales; Enterobacteriaceae.